Molecule: ribosomal RNA, 345 nt
Filed under: Salmonella enterica
Lineage: Bacteria; Pseudomonadati; Pseudomonadota; Gammaproteobacteria; Enterobacterales; Enterobacteriaceae
Also listed under: 1 other name
Description: partial 23S ribosomal RNA
Rfam family: Bacterial large subunit ribosomal RNA
Source: RNAcentral
GUUGGCUUAGAAGCAGCCAUCAUUUAAAGAAAGCGUAAUAGCUCACUGGUCGAGUCGGCCUGCGCGGAAGAUGUAACGGGGCUAAACCAUGCACCGAAGCUGCGGCAGCGAACGUAUCACUUAAAGCGAUUCAGCGGAUGACGAUUGACGGAGCGAAGCGACGUCAAAGCGUAUACAAAGUCGAGUCGGUUUAAGGAUACGUUCGUUGGGUAGGGGAGCGUUCUGUAAGCCUGCGAAGGUGGCCUGUGAGGGUUGCUGGAGGUAUCAGAAGUGCGAAUGCUGACAUAAGUAACGAUAAAGCGGGUGAAAAGCCCGCUCGCCGGAAGACCAAGGGUUCCUGUCCAA